RNAcentral lists this ribosomal RNA (460 nucleotides) under uncultured bacterium. RNAcentral's name for it is "partial 16S ribosomal RNA". It matches the Rfam family "Bacterial small subunit ribosomal RNA", at positions 338 to 795 of the family's 1533-position model. The record is from RNAcentral.
CCUACGGGAGGCAGCAGUGAGGAAUAUUGGUCAAUGGGCGCGAGCCUGAACCAGCCAAGUAGCGUGAAGGAUGACUGCCCUACGGGUUGUAAACUUCUUUUAUAAAGGAAUAAAGUGAGGCCCGUGUGCCUUUUUGUAUGUGCUUUAUGAAUAAGGAUCGGCUAACUCCGUGCCAGCAGCCGCGGUAAUACGGAGGAUCCGAGCGUUAUCCGGAUUUAUUGGGGUUAAAGGGAGCGUCUAUGGGUUGUUAAGUCAGUUGUGAAAGUUUGCGGCUAAACCGUAAAAUUGCAAUUGAUACUGGCAGCCGUGAGUACAGUUGAGGUAGGCGGAAUUCGUGGUGUAGCGGUGAAAUGCUUAGAUAUCACGAAGAACUCCGAUUGCGAAGGCAGCCUACUAAACUGCAACUGACAUUGAUGCUCGAAAGUGUGGGUAUCAAACAGGAUUAGAUACCCUUGUAGUC